Molecule: ribosomal RNA, 253 nt
Filed under: uncultured bacterium
Lineage: Bacteria
Description: partial 16S ribosomal RNA
Rfam family: Bacterial small subunit ribosomal RNA
Source: RNAcentral
UACGUAGGGGGCAAGCGUUGUCCGGAAUCAUUGGGCGUAAAGAGCGCGUAGGCGGCCCGACAAGUCCGCUGUGAAAGUCAGGGGCUCAACCCUUGAAUGCCGGUGGAUACUGUCGGGCUAGAGUCCGGAAGAGGCGAGUGGAAUUCCUGGUGUAGCGGUGAAAUGCGCAGAUAUCAGGAGGAACACCGGUGGCGAAAGCGGCUCACUGGAUCUCUUCUGACGCUGAGGCACGAAAGCUAGGGUAGCAAACGGG